Long non-coding RNA from Haliotis rufescens (red abalone), 615 nucleotides. RefSeq lists it as uncharacterized. The record is from RefSeq and is a predicted model, not a curated record. Lineage: Eukaryota; Metazoa; Mollusca; Gastropoda; Lepetellida; Haliotidae. The transcript is spliced from 4 exons.
UUGAUUUUGAUUGGUUUAUCCAAUCUGAGAGCUGUUUACCGCUCUCUGAGCGAAAGCGUCGGUUGUGCGCUCUGUACUAGCUCAGGGAAGUCUUGGCAAGUGAUCAGCGACACAAAGAGUGGGUGAAUAUACACUAAACAGUAAUGGCAGCUACAAAGCCUAAGAAGGCAGGGGCAGAGGCAGCACCUAAGAAACCUGCAAAGAAGCCAACGAAGAAGAAGCCCGCAAAGAAGGCCGGUGGCAAGAAAAAGACCAAGAGGGCAGGAGCUAAGAAGGCCAAGAAGUAACUUAUUCCACUGCAAGCAAUAAUCAUCUUCAUGAUUUGGUGGGCUACAUGGACAUUUCCUCCACGGGGGAGUUGUCUCCCCUAAAGGGGGCGUGGCCCACUGGCACCUCUCCACAGUUUAUUAGCCUAGAUGACAUUAGACUUUUAUUGUUACAGCUGAGUGGUUUUAAAGGAUGUUCAACAUCACUUGUUUCAUUGUCUUUGGUCUCGACUCAUGUCGUCGUCUAUUCUACCAGUUCCGAGAUUUUACAGACUGUAGCAUAUUUAUAAUUCUACAUCUCAUAGACUCACUCUCAUGUGUACAAUAAACAUUAAAAACAACCAUCAAA